UAGUGGUUAGGAUUCGGCGCUCUCACU
RNAcentral lists this non-coding RNA (27 nucleotides) under Homo sapiens (human). RNAcentral also lists the same sequence under 3 other names. Lineage: Eukaryota; Metazoa; Chordata; Mammalia; Primates; Hominidae. The record is from RNAcentral.